This 91-nucleotide transfer RNA is filed under the name Actinoplanes ianthinogenes. Its description in RNAcentral is "tRNA-Gly". The record is from RNAcentral. Lineage: Bacteria; Bacillati; Actinomycetota; Actinomycetes; Micromonosporales; Micromonosporaceae.
CGGUGAUCUCGGCGGCGGCGGCCAGCCAGCGCUCCCGCCGCUGGGCCAGCUCGUAGAGCCGGGCGUUGUCGAUCGCCACGCCGGCCGCGGC